Molecule: transfer RNA, 72 nt
Filed under: Ovis aries (sheep)
Lineage: Eukaryota; Metazoa; Chordata; Mammalia; Artiodactyla; Bovidae
Rfam family: tRNA
About the family: Transfer RNA (tRNA) molecules are approximately 80 nucleotides in length. Their secondary structure includes four short double-helical elements and three loops (D, anti-codon, and T loops).
Source: Rfam by way of RNAcentral
UCCCUGGUAGCUCAGUGGUAAAGAAUUUGCCUACCAAAGCAGGAGACACAGGUUCGAUCCCUGAUCCGGGAA